RNAcentral lists this non-coding RNA (29 nucleotides) under Homo sapiens (human). The record is from RNAcentral. Lineage: Eukaryota; Metazoa; Chordata; Mammalia; Primates; Hominidae.
UUCCUAGGUCUGGACAUCAUCAUCCCAGC